Molecule: ribosomal RNA, 711 nt
Filed under: Bacillus sp. (in: firmicutes)
Lineage: Bacteria; Bacillati; Bacillota; Bacilli; Caryophanales; Bacillaceae
Description: bacterial SSU rRNA
Rfam family: Bacterial small subunit ribosomal RNA
Source: RNAcentral
UCAACCCGGGGAGGGUCAUUGGAAACUGGGGAACUUGAGUGCAGAAGAGGAGAGUGGAAUUCCACGUGUAGCGGUGAAAUGCGUAGAGAUGUGGAGGAACACCAGUGGCGAAGGCGACUCUCUGGUCUGUAACUGACGCUGAGGCGCGAAAGCGUGGGGAGCGAACAGGAUUAGAUACCCUGGUAGUCCACGCCGUAAACGAUGAGUGCUAAGUGUUAGAGGGUUUCCGCCCUUUAGUGCUGCAGCAAACGCAUUAAGCACUCCGCCUGGGGAGUACGGUCGCAAGACUGAAACUCAAAGGAAUUGACGGGGGCCCGCACAAGCGGUGGAGCAUGUGGUUUAAUUCGAAGCAACGCGAAGAACCUUACCAGGUCUUGACAUCCUCUGACAACCCUAGAGAUAGGGCUUCCCCUUCGGGGGCAGAGUGACAGGUGGUGCAUGGUUGUCGUCAGCUCGUGUCGUGAGAUGUUGGGUUAAGUCCCGCAACGAGCGCAACCCUUGAUCUUAGUUGCCAGCAUUCAGUUGGGCACUCUAAGGUGACUGCCGGUGACAAACCGGAGGAAGGUGGGGAUGACGUCAAAUCAUCAUGCCCCUUAUGACCUGGGCUACACACGUGCUACAAUGGGCAGAACAAAGGGCAGCGAAGCCGCGAGGCUAAGCCAAUCCCACAAAUCUGUUCUCAGUUCGGAUCGCAGUCUGCAACUCGACUGC